AUGAACGCUGGCGGCAAGCCUAAAACAUGCAAGUCGAACGCCCUAGCAAUAGGGAGUGGCGCACGGGUGCGUAACAUGUGGGAAUAUGCCUUUUGGUACGGAACAACUCCGGGAAACUGGAGCUAAUACCGUAUGGUCCCUUCGGGGUAAAGAUUUAUCGCCAAGAGAUUAGCCCGCACUGGAUUAGCUAGUUGGUGAGGUAAUGGCUCACCAAGGCGGCGAUCCAUAGCUGGUCUGAGAGGACGAUCAGCCACACUGGGACUGAGACACGGCCCAGACUCCUACGGGAGGCAGCAGUUAGGAAUAUUGGACAAUGGGCGCAAGCCUGAUCCAGCUAUGCCGCGUGAGUGAUGAAGGCCUUCGGGUUGUAAAGCUCUUUAGCCGACGAAUAUAAUGACUGUAGUCGGAAAAGAAGCCCCGGCUAACUUCGU
This 431-nucleotide ribosomal RNA is filed under the name uncultured bacterium. RNAcentral's name for it is "bacterial SSU rRNA". It matches the Rfam family "Bacterial small subunit ribosomal RNA", at positions 29 to 506 of the family's 1533-position model. The record is from RNAcentral.